RNAcentral lists this non-coding RNA (148 nucleotides) under Pan paniscus (pygmy chimpanzee). The record is from Rfam by way of RNAcentral. RNAcentral also lists the same sequence under 1 other name. Lineage: Eukaryota; Metazoa; Chordata; Mammalia; Primates; Hominidae.
GCUGGGUGUGGUGGUGCACACCUGUAAUCCCAGCUACUCGGGAGGCUGAGGCAGGAGAAUCGCUUGAACCUGGGAGGUGGAGGUUGCAGUGAGUCGAGAUCACACCACUGCACUCCACCCUGGGCAACAGAGCGAGACUUUGUCUAAA